RNAcentral lists this ribosomal RNA (301 nucleotides) under uncultured bacterium. RNAcentral describes it as "partial 16S ribosomal RNA". It matches the Rfam family "Bacterial small subunit ribosomal RNA", at positions 509 to 807 of the family's 1533-position model. The record is from RNAcentral.
CAGUAGCCGCGGGAAUACGAAGGGGGCUAGCGUUGUUCGGAAUCACUGGGCGUAAAGGGUGCGUAGGCGGGCAUUUAAGUCGGGGGUGAAAUCCCGAGGCUCAACCUCGGAACUGCCCUUGAUACUGGGUGUCUUGAGUCCGGAAGAGGUGAGUGGAACUGCGAGUGUAGAGGUGAAAUUCGUAGAUAUUCGCAAGAACACCGGUGGCGAAGGCGGCUCACUGGUCCGGAACUGACGCUGAGGCACGACAGCGUGGUGAGCAAACAGGAUUAGAUACCCGUGUAGUCCCUGUCUCUUAUAC